This 493-nucleotide ribosomal RNA is filed under the name uncultured bacterium. Its description in RNAcentral is "partial 16S ribosomal RNA". It matches the Rfam family "Bacterial small subunit ribosomal RNA", at positions 28 to 507 of the family's 1533-position model. The record is from RNAcentral.
GACGAACGCUGGCGGCGUGCUUAACACAUGCAAGUCGAACGGUGAAGCGCCUUCCUUUUUGGUGGGUGUGGAUGAGUGGCGAACGGGUGAGUAACACGUGAGUAACCUUCCCCUUCUUCUGGAUAACCGCAUGAAAGUGUGUCUAAUACGGGAUAUUCUGGGUCUGUCGCAUGAUGGGUCUGGGAAAGAUCUUGCUUUGGUGGGGGAUGGGCUCGCGGCCUCUAAGCUUGUUGGUGGGGUGAUGGCCUACCCAGGCGGUGAAGGGUAGCCGGCCUGGGAGGGUGGACCGUCACACGGGGACGGAGACGCGGCGCAGACUCCGACGGGAGGCAGCAGUGGGGAAUAUGGAAUAAGGGGAGGAAGGAUGAUGCAGCGCCGCGGCGUGGGGGAUGGACGCCUUAGGGUUGUGAACCUCUUUCGGGAGUGAAGAAGGCCUGCCGUGUUUGUGGGUGGGUUGACGGUAGCUAAAUAAGAAGCGCCGGCUAACUACGUG